This 471-nucleotide ribosomal RNA is filed under the name Bathygobius sp. NMBE 1066532. RNAcentral's name for it is "partial 12S ribosomal RNA". It matches the Rfam family "Bacterial small subunit ribosomal RNA", at positions 868 to 1533 of the family's 1533-position model. The record is from RNAcentral. Lineage: Eukaryota; Metazoa; Chordata; Actinopteri; Gobiiformes; Gobiidae.
UUCGCCGGGGAACUACGGGCGCGAGCUUAAAACCCAAAGGAUUUGGCGGUGCUUUAGACCCCCCUAGAGGAGCCUGUCAUAGAACCGAUACUCCCCGUUAAACCUCACCCUCUCUUGUUCUUCCCGCCUAUAUACCGCCGUCGUCAGCUUACCUUUUGAAAGACCAGUAGUAAGCGCAAUUGGCACAGCCCAAAACGUCAGGUCGAGGUGUAGCGUAUGAGAGGGGAAGAGAUGGGCUACAUUUACUGCCUCAGUACACACGGAAGAUGACCUGAAAUUCCAUCUGAAGGAGGAUUUAGCAGUAAGGGGGAAAUAGAGUGUCCCCCUGAAGACGGCCCUGAAGCGUGCACAUACCGCCCGUCAUUCUCCCCGAUACCCUGAAAAAGCAAUACAUAAUAAGACAGUCACUAAAAGAGGGGAGGCAAGUCGUAACAUGGUAAGUGUACCGGAAGGUGCACUUGGAUCAACCCU